RNAcentral lists this ribosomal RNA (1192 nucleotides) under Clypeomorus sp. Its description in RNAcentral is "partial 16S ribosomal RNA". It matches the Rfam family "Bacterial large subunit ribosomal RNA", at positions 564 to 2573 of the family's 2925-position model. Lineage: Eukaryota; Metazoa; Mollusca; Gastropoda; Cerithiidae. The record is from RNAcentral.
AUAAAAGUAGUUCUUAUCUUAAAUUACCCAAUUAAUCUCAGAAACAUCUAAUCGCCCAGUAAUGGUGAAGGAAAGGCGACUAAACUUUAAAGUACCGAGAGGGAAAAAACAAUUGUAGGCACAUUAGUUUAAAAUAACGUACUUUUUGCAUCACGGCCUAGCAAGAGAACACUUAAUAUUUUAGUAUCUCGAAGACUAACGAGCUAUCUUUUUUUGGCAUUUUAGGGCCUUACUUUUUAGCUGUAAAUGUGGCAAAAUUUUAGUAAAAACAAAAGAUAGAUACGAGAUGUUACUCGCGUUAGUGAUAGCUAGUUCUUCUAAAAAAGUAUAUAAGUGCUGGAACGAAGAUUAAAUUCUAAAAAAUUAUUUUUAGCCUUUAUUUCGUCUCUAAUACUUCUAAGGAUAAGCUUAGAAGUAACUAAAAUAAUAGUUUAUGUAUAAGCAGUUUUUAAUGUGGGCCUGAAACUAGCCAACAUAUACGACUCUGUUAUAAGUCAGUUUUAUUAGCUUAAAAAAUCUUUCUAUAAGAAUUUUGUAAUUAUAGAAGCACAAGCAUCAAUUAGUUCGGUUUAACGCAUAUGCUAGGAUGAGUAUUAAAAUCUGCUACGAGAAAUAAAGAAGUAAAAAAUAUUUCCUGAAUAUAAGAAUUCAAAAAUAAAAAUUAGAAAAAAGGAACUCGGCAAAUAACUGCUUCGCCUGUUUACCAAAAACAUGGCUCCUUGAAAUAAAUAUAUAAGGAGUCGGACCUGCCCGGUGAAAAAUUUUAACGGCCGCGGUACUCUGACCGUGCAAAGGUAGCAUAAUCACUUGCCUUAUAAUUGAAGGCUAGUAUGAAUGGUUUGACGAAAGCGUAUCUGUCUCUUUUCUAUUUUGUAAAAAUUAACCUCCAGGUGAAGAGGCCUGCUUAUAAUUGAAGGACGAGAAGACCCUGUCGAGCUUUAAGAAAAAAAGGAAAAUUUUAUACUUGUAAAUAUAAAACCUUUUCUAUCUUUUGGUUGGGGCGACUAGGGAACAAAAAAAGCUUCCCUUAACUAUUAAACCUUUUUGUUAGGAUCCAGUACUUUCUGAUUAAAAGAAUUAGUUACCGCAGGGAUAACAGCAUAAUCCCUUUUGAGAGACCUAAUCGAAAAAGGGGGUUGUGACCUCGAUGUUGGACUAGGAUAUCCUAAAGGUGCAGAAGCCUUUAAUGGUU